Molecule: ribosomal RNA, 468 nt
Filed under: uncultured bacterium
Lineage: Bacteria
Description: partial 16S ribosomal RNA
Rfam family: Bacterial small subunit ribosomal RNA
Source: RNAcentral
GACGAACGCUGGCGGCGUGCUUAACACAUGCAAGUCGAACGGAAAGGCCCUGCUUUUGUGGGGUGCUCGAGUGGCGAACGGGUGAGUAACACGUGAGUAACCUGCCCUUGACUUUGGGAUAACUUCAGGAAACUGGGGCUAAUACCGGAUAGGAGCUCCUGCUGCAUGGUGGGGGUUGGAAAGUUUCGGCGGUUGGGGAUGGACUCGCGGCUUAUCAGCUUGUUGGUGGGGUAGUGGCUUACCAAGGCUUUGACGGGUAGCCGGCCUGAGAGGGUGACCGGCCACAUUGGGACUGAGAUACGGCGCAGACUCGUACGGGGGGCAGCAGUGGGGAGUAUUGCACAAUGGGCGGGAGCCUGAUGCAGCAACGCCGCGUGCGGGAUGACGGCCUUCGGGUUGUAAACCGCUUUCGCCUGUGACGAAGCGUGAGUGACGGUAAUGGGUAAAGAAGCACCGGCUAACUACGUG